This 2662-nucleotide ribosomal RNA is filed under the name Colletotrichum coccodes. Its description in RNAcentral is "eukaryotic LSU rRNA". The stretch from base 317 to 2662 matches the Rfam family "Eukaryotic large subunit ribosomal RNA", at positions 1 to 2390 of the family's 3401-position model. The record is from RNAcentral. Lineage: Eukaryota; Fungi; Ascomycota; Sordariomycetes; Glomerellales; Glomerellaceae.
AAAACUUUCAACAACGGAUCUCUUGGUUCUGGCAUCGAUGAAGAACGCAGCGAAAUGCGAUAAGUAAUGUGAAUUGCAGAAUUCAGUGAAUCAUCGAAUCUUUGAACGCACAUUGCGCCCGCCAGCAUUCUGGCGGGCAUGCCUGUUCGAGCGUCAUUUCAACCCUCAAGCUCUGCUUGGUGUUGGGGCCCUACGGUUGACGUAGGCCCUUAAAGGUAGUGGCGGACCCUCUCGGAGCCUCCUUUGCGUAGUAACUAACGUCUCGCACUGGGAUUCGGAGGGACUCUUGCCGUAAAACCCCCAAAUUUUUAAAGGUUGACCUCGGAUCAGGUAGGAAUACCCGCUGAACUUAAGCAUAUCAAUAAGCGGAGGAAAAGAAACCAACAGGGAUUGCCCCAGUAACGGCGAGUGAAGCGGCAACAGCUCAAAUUUGAAAUCUGGCCCCAGGCCCGAGUUGUAAUUUGCAGAGGAUGCUUUUGGCGCGGUGCCUUCCGAGUUCCCUGGAACGGGACGCCAUAGAGGGUGAGAGCCCCGUACGGUUGGACACCAAGCCUUUGUAAAGCUCCUUCGACGAGUCGAGUAGUUUGGGAAUGCUGCUCAAAAUGGGAGGUAUAUUUCUUCUAAAGCUAAAUAUUGGCCAGAGACCGAUAGCGCACAAGUAGAGUGAUCGAAAGAUGAAAAGCACUUUGAAAAGAGGGUUAAACAGCACGUGAAAUUGUUGAAAGGGAAGCGCUUGUGACCAGACUUGCGCCCGGUGAAUCACCCAGCUCUCGCGGCUGGGGCACUUUGCCGGCACAGGCCAGCAUCAGCUUGCCGUCGGGGACAAAAGCUUCGGGAACGUAGCUCUCUUCGGGGAGUGUUAUAGCCCGUUGCAUAAUACCCUUCGGCGGGCUGAGGUACGCGCUCCGCAAGGAUGCUGGCGUAAUGGUCAUCAGCGACCCGUCUUGAAACACGGACCAAGGAGUCAACCUUAUGUGCGAGUGUUUGGGUGUUAAACCCCUACGCGUAAUGAAAGUGAACGCAGGUGAGAGCUUCGGCGCAUCAUCGACCGAUCCUGAUGUUCUCGGAUGGAUUUGAGUAAGAGCAUAUAGGGUUGGACCCGAAAGAAGGUGAACUAUGCGUGUAUAGGGUGAAGCCAGAGGAAACUCUGGUGGAGGCUCGCAGCGGUUCUGACGUGCAAAUCGAUCGUCAAAUAUGCGCAUGGGGGCGAAAGACUAAUCGAACCUUCUAGUAGCUGGUUUCCGCCGAAGUUUCCCUCAGGAUAGCAGUGUUGAACUCAGUUUUAUGAGGUAAAGCGAAUGAUUAGGGACUCGGGGGCGCUAUAUUGCCUUCAUCCAUUCUCAAACUUUAAAUAUGUAAGAAGCCCUUGUUACUUAAUUGAACGUGGGCAUUCGAAUGUAUCAACACUAGUGGGCCAUUUUUGGUAAGCAGAACUGGCGAUGCGGGAUGAACCGAACGCGAGGUUAAGGUGCCAGAGUAGUCGCUCAUCAGACACCACAAAAGGUGUUAGUACAUCUUGACAGCAGGACGGUGGCCAUGGAAGUCGGAAUCCGCUAAGGACUGUGUAACAACUCACCUGCCGAAUGUACUAGCCCUGAAAAUGGAUGGCGCUCAAGCGACUCACCCAUACCUCGCCCUCAGUGUAGAAACGAUGCGCUGAGGAGUAGGCGGACGUGGAGGUCAGUGACGAAGCCUAGGGCGUGAGCCCGGGUAGAACGGCCUCUAGUGCAGAUCUUGGUGGUAGUAGCAAAUACUUCAAUGAGAACUUGAAGGACCGAAGUGGGGAAAGGUUCCAUGUGAACAGCGGUUGGACAUGGGUUAGUCGAUCCUAAGCCAUAGGGAAGUUCCGUUUCAAAGGGGCACUUGUGCCCCGUAUGGCGAAAGGGAAGCCGGUCAAUAUUCCGGCACCUGGAUGUGGGUUUUGCGCGGCAACGCAACUGAACGCGGAGACGACGGCGGGGGCCCCGGGCAGAGUUCUCUUUUCUUCUUAACGGUCUAUCACCCUGAAAUCGGUUUGUCCGGAGCUAGGGUUUAACGGCCGGAAGAGCCCAGCACUUCUGUUGGGUCCGGUGCGCUCUCGACGUCCCUUGAAAAUCCGCGGGAAGGAAUAAUUCUCACGCCAGGUCGUACUCAUAACCGCAGCAGGUCUCCAAGGUGAACAGCCUCUGGUUGAUAGAACAAUGUAGAUAAGGGAAGUCGGCAAAACAGAUCCGUAACUUCGGGAUAAGGAUUGGCUCUAAGGGUUGGGUACGUUGGGCUUUAGGCGGACGGCUCGGGAGCAGGUCGCCACUAGCCGGGCAACCGGCCGGAGGCUUCCAGCAUCUGGGUUCUGACGCCUUUAGCAGGCUUCGGCCGUCCGGCGUACGGUUAACAACCAACUUAGAACUGGUACGGACAAGGGGAAUCUGACUGUCUAAUUAAAACAUAGCAUUGCGAUGGCCAGAAAGUGGUGUUGACGCAAUGUGAUUUCUGCCCAGUGCUCUGAAUGUCAAAGUGAAGUAAUUCAACCAAGCGCGGGUAAACGGCGGGAGUAACUAUGACUCUCUUAAGGUAGCCAAAUGCCUCGUCAUCUAAUUAGUGACGCGCAUGAAUGGAUCAACGAGAUUCCCACUGUCCCUAUCUACUAUCUAGCGAAACCACAGCCAAGGGAACGGGCUUGGCA